GGCGAACGCUGGCGGCGUGCUUAACACAUGCAAGUCGAACGGAAAGGCCUGCUUUCCCUUGUGGAUUGCGGGUACUCGAGUGGCGAACGGGUGAGUAACACGUGAGUGAUCUGCCCCCAACUUGGGUAUAAGCCUGGGAAACUGGGUCUAAUUCCCGAUAGUACUGCAGGGUGGUGCCUGUGGUGGAAAACGAUUUUCUAGUGGUUGGGGAUGAGCUCGCGGCCUAUCAGCUUGUUGGUGGGGUAAUGGCCUACCAAGGCGGCGACGGGUAGCCGGCCUGGGAGGGUGGACGGCCACAUUGGGACUGAGAUACGGCCCAGAAUCCUACGGGAGGCAGCAGUGGGGAAUAUUGCACAAUGGGCGGAAGCCUGAUGCAGCGACGCCGCGUGGGGGAUGACGGCCUUCGGGUUGUAAACUCCUUUCGACCGCGAGGAAGCCACCUGGUUGGAAGGGUGGUGACGGUAGUGGUAGAAGAAGCACCGGCUAACUACGUG
Molecule: ribosomal RNA, 494 nt
Filed under: uncultured bacterium
Lineage: Bacteria
Description: partial 16S ribosomal RNA
Rfam family: Bacterial small subunit ribosomal RNA
Source: RNAcentral